AGUGCUUGAAAGGCAACCGCUGGAAACAGAGGAAAGUCCGGGCAGCAUAGAAUGCGGUAGUCGCUAACGGCGACCGUUCGAAAGGACCGGGAAAGUACCACAGAAACUUAUACCGCCUACAUUUGACUGACAUUGGAUUGACGAUUUAUGGCGUCAAGAUUAAGUUGGUCGUAGGUAAGGGUGAAAAGAGUGAGGUAAGAGCUCACAGUGUUUUAUGGUGACAUAGGACAGGGGCAAACCCUACCGGCUGCAAGGAGUGCUAGAUACCCUUAUUCGGGGAUGCACGCUCACCGCUAGAGCCCAAGAGUAAUUUUGGGACUAGAUAGAUGGUUGCUAGCCUUUUUGGCGAACAGAACCCGGCUUAUUGAGAGCAUAAAAA
RNAcentral lists this RNase P RNA (379 nucleotides) under Candidatus Saccharimonadota bacterium. RNAcentral's name for it is "RNase P RNA component class A". It matches the Rfam family "Bacterial RNase P class A". Rfam says of the family: Ribonuclease P (RNase P) is a ubiquitous endoribonuclease, found in archaea, bacteria and eukarya as well as chloroplasts and mitochondria. Its best characterised activity is the generation of mature 5'-ends of tRNAs by cleaving the 5'-leader elements of precursor-tRNAs. The record is from RNAcentral. Lineage: Bacteria; Candidatus Saccharimonadota.